AGCGAACGCUGGCGGCAGGCUUAACACAUGCAAGUCGAGCGGGCGUAGCAAUACGUCAGCGGCAGACGGGUGAGUAACGCGUGGGAACGUACCUUUUGGUUCGGAACAACACAGGGAAACUUGUGCUAAUACCGGAUAAGCCCUUACGGGGAAAGAUUUAUCGCCGAAAGAUCGGCCCGCGUCUGAUUAGCUAGUUGGUGAGGUAACGGCUCACCAAGGCGACGAUCAGUAGCUGGUCUGAGAGGAUGAUCAGCCACAUUGGGACUGAGGCACGGCCCAAACUCCUACGGGAGGCAGCAGUGGGGAAUAUUGGACAAUGGGGGCAACCCUGAUCCAGCCAUGCCGCGUGAGUGAUGAAGGCCCUAGGGUUGUAAAGCUCUUUUGUGCGGGAAGAUAAUGACGGUACCGCAAGAAUAAGCCCCGGCUAACUUCGUG
RNAcentral lists this ribosomal RNA (435 nucleotides) under uncultured bacterium. RNAcentral describes it as "partial 16S ribosomal RNA". It matches the Rfam family "Bacterial small subunit ribosomal RNA", at positions 29 to 507 of the family's 1533-position model. The record is from RNAcentral.